RNAcentral lists this unclassified non-coding RNA (2215 nucleotides) under Gigantopelta aegis. RNAcentral's name for it is "18 kDa learning-associated protein of slug-like, transcript variant X1". Lineage: Eukaryota; Metazoa; Mollusca; Gastropoda; Neomphalida; Peltospiridae. The record is from RNAcentral.
GCAAUCAGUAGGACCAGUCUAAUAAAUGCGUAUGUCGUCAUCGGUUUUUGUGUUGGUUCACAAAAUACUGCUUGUGUCGGUACACGUGUUUUUGUUUAGAAGCACAAAACUGGUCAGCUUUUUAAACUAAGAGAAAGAUGGCAAAGAGUAUGAGGAGUAAAAAGCGUCGAAAGAUGAGAAACCAAAAAAGGAUCAAAUGGGCUCCAAAAGUGAAUGCUAGAAUGCAGAGGAUAGCUGAGGCACUAAACAGCAAAGACAUUGACAUAACUCAGCUUGUUACAGUGAAGACAGUCAGUGAAAUAAAGAAAUCUGAAACCAAGGAAAAAACUGAUGUGAAGACAGUCAGUGAAAUAAAGAACUCUGAAACAAAGGAAAAAACUGAUGAUGCCCAUAUGGACGUUGACGUAGAAGUGAAAUCACGGGAUGCGAAAACACUCAAGGAUGAGGACGGACAUUACCCUGUAUGGAUGAAUCAGAGAGCAGUUAAAAAACACAGACAGAAAAUCAACAAAAUAAAGAGAGUCAAAAAGAAAGGUCGCAACAAGAGAGGUGCAUGGUGAUGUGGAACUGUUCUCCAUUUCUUUAAAACUGCUUCAGAAAAACAACAGCCAACUGUGAUGUUGUGUCUAUUUGUGAUGUGAAAGGAACAAAUCGAACAUCAAGUAAAUUGGUUGUGUUUCAUCCCACUCAUGAUAAAGCUACUGCAUUUAACAUGUUUCUGUAACUUUCAUAUGGAUGGGGGAAUACAUGCAGGUUAAAUUAAAUAUGAAAACGGUACACGGUACCUGUUUAUGUAACAUUUCUGUAACUUUCAUACGGAUGGGGAUACAUGCAGGUUACUAAAUAUGAAAACGGUACUACAAGGUACCUGUUUAUAUAACAUUUCUGUAACUUUCAUACGGAUGGGGAUACAUGCAAGUUAAAGAAAUAUAAAAACGGUACAUGGCACUUGUUUAUAUAACGUUUCUGUAACUUUCAUACGGAUGGGAAUACAUGCAGGUUAAACUAAAUAUAAAAACAGUACACGGCACUUGUUUAUGUAACGUUUCUGUAAUUUGUAUACGGAUGGGGAUACAUGCAGGUUAAACUAAAUAUAAAAACGGUACAUGGCACUUGUUUAUAUAACGUUUCUGUAACUUUCAUACGGAUGGGGAUACAUGCAGGUUAAACUAAAUAUAAAAACGGUACACGGUACUUGUUUAUACGUUUCUGUAAUUUGUAUAUGGAUGGGGAUACAUGCAGGUUAAACUAAAUAUAAAAACGGUACACGGUACUUGUUUAUACGUUUCUGUAAUUUGUAUAUGGAUGGGGAUACAUGCAGGUUAAACUAAAUAUAAAAACGGUACACGGUACUUGUUUAUACAACGUUUCUGUAAUUUGUAUACGGAUGGGAAUACAUGCAGGUUAAACUAAAUAUAAAAACGGUACACGGUACUUGUUUAUGUAACGUUUCUGUAACUUUCAUACGGAUGGGAAUACAUGCAGGUUAAACUAAAUAUAAAAACGGUACACGGCACUUGUUUAUAUAACGUUUCUGUAACUUUCAUACGGAUGGGAAUACAUGCAGGUUAAACUAAAUAUAAAAACGGUACAUGGCACUUGUUUAUAUAACGUUUCUGUAACUUUCAUACGGAUGGGAAUACAUGCAGGUUAAACUAAAUAUAAAAACGGUACACGGUACUUGUUUAUGUAACGUUUCUGUAAUUUGUAUACGGAUGGGGAUACAUGCAGGUUAAACUAAAUGUAAAUGUGAAAACUGUACAUGGCACUUGUUUAUGUAACAUGUCUGUAGUUUUCAUACGGAUGGGGAUACAUGCAGGUGAAACUAAAUGUGAAAAUAGUACAUGGCACUUGUUUAUGUAACAUGUUUCUGUAAUAUGAAAACAGUACAAUGUGCAUGCAUCGGUUUAUAGAUAACCAGUUGACAAAAUAAUAUUAGGAGGAAAUGUGGUUGUAAAUAAACUUAUUGUGUAAUUCUUGAACAUACGCUUCAGAUUCACAUGCCAGUACGGUGUGUGUGUGUGUAUAUGCACCACAUGAAUAUAGACAUCAUGUACACAUGUAUACCAGAUAUGUUGGGUCUGUUGUACAUGUGUGUGUUUGUGAGAUUUCAUUUGUAAUGAAGAUGUUAGUUAUUUUGAUCAACCUCGAGUUGCUGGUUGACAUACAUGUACAGCUGUUUACAUUGAAACUGAAAUAAAUAUAUUCUGAUUGA